GUGUCAGCAGCCGCGGUAAUACGUAGGAGGCGAGCGUUGUCCGGAGUUACUGGGCGUAAAGGGCCUGUAGGCGGUGACGUAAGUUUGGAGUGACAGUUCCCGGCUUAACUGGGGAAGGCCUUCGAAAACUGCGUGACUUGAGGACUUGAGAGGAAGGCGGAACUCCGGGUGGAGCGGUGAAAUGCGUAGAGAUCCGGAAGAACACCAACGGCGAAGGCAGCCUUCUGGGAAGUACCUGACGCUGAGGGGCGAAAGCUAGGGGAGCGAACGGGAUUAGAUACCCGAGUAGUCC
This 292-nucleotide ribosomal RNA is filed under the name uncultured bacterium. Its description in RNAcentral is "partial 16S ribosomal RNA". It matches the Rfam family "Bacterial small subunit ribosomal RNA", at positions 505 to 796 of the family's 1533-position model. The record is from RNAcentral.